This 471-nucleotide unclassified non-coding RNA is filed under the name uncultured fungus. RNAcentral's name for it is "partial contains small subunit ribosomal RNA, internal transcribed spacer 1, and 5.8S ribosomal RNA". The stretch from base 1 to 73 matches the Rfam family "Eukaryotic small subunit ribosomal RNA", at positions 1759 to 1831 of the family's 1831-position model. The record is from RNAcentral. Lineage: Eukaryota; Fungi.
CCAAACUUGGUCAUUUAGAGGAAGUACAAGUCGUAACAAGGUUUCCGUAGGUGAACCUGCGGAAGGAUCAUUAACGAAUCGUAUGAUGUUGUGUGGUUGUGAUGUUGUGUAUGAUCCUAUAUGAUUGUGUGUGUGUGUGGAUACACAUGCAAUUGUGCAAUCAUGCACAUUACACAUACACCAUACACACCAUACACAUUAGCCCUCCCUGAUAUUGGGAAGUGCAUAUUCAUGCUAUUAUUGUGUUGUUGUGGUGGUAGGUGUAUACGUAUGAUGUAUGUAUAUGUAUGAUGUAUGUAUAUGUAUAUGCAUGUAUGAUGUAUGUAUAUGCAUGCAUGUAUGUAUAUGUAUGAUGUAUUUAUAUGCAUGUAUGUAUAACAUAUAGCAUAUACACAUUUAUACACCAAUGUGCAUAAAUAGAUAACUUUUAACAAUGGAUCUCUAGGCUCUUGCAUCGAUGAAGAACGCAGC